This 424-nucleotide ribosomal RNA is filed under the name uncultured bacterium. Its description in RNAcentral is "bacterial SSU rRNA". It matches the Rfam family "Bacterial small subunit ribosomal RNA", at positions 355 to 776 of the family's 1533-position model. The record is from RNAcentral.
UAAGGAAUAUUGGACAAUGGACGCAAGUCUGAUCCAGCCAUGCCGCGUGAAGGAUUAAGGCCCUCUGGGUUGUAAACUUCUUUUAUAGGGGACGAAAAAGGGGCUUUCUAGCUCAACUGACGGUACCCUAUGAAUAAGCACCGGCUAACUCCGUGCCAGCAGCCGCGGUAAUACGGAGGGUGCAAGCGUUAUCCGGAUUCACUGGGUUUAAAGGGUGCGUAGGCGGGCAUUUAAGUCAGUGGUGAAAUCUUGGGGCUCAACCCCGAAACUGCCAUUGAUACUAUUUGUCUUGAAUACUGUGGAGGUUAGCGGAAUAUGUCAUGUAGCGGUGAAAUGCUUAGAUAUGACAUAGAACACCGAUUGCGAAGGCAGCUGGCUACACAAAUAUUGACGCUGAGGCACGAAAGCGUGGGGAUCAAACAGG